This 761-nucleotide ribosomal RNA is filed under the name uncultured bacterium. RNAcentral's name for it is "bacterial SSU rRNA". It matches the Rfam family "Bacterial small subunit ribosomal RNA", at positions 99 to 860 of the family's 1533-position model. The record is from RNAcentral.
CGCACGGGUGAGUAACGCGUAUCCAACCUGCCCACCACUUGGGGAUAACCCUGCGAAAGUAAGACUAAUACCCAAUGAUAUCCCACGAAGGCAUCCGAAUGGGAUUAAAGAUUUAUCGGUGAUGGAUGGGGAUGCGUCUGAUUAGCUUGUUGGCGGGGUAACGGCCCACCAAGGCUACGAUCAGUAGGGGUUCUGAGAGGAAGGUCCCCCACAUUGGAACUGAGACACGGUCCAAACUCCUACGGGAGGCAGCAGUGAGGAAUAUUGGUCAAUGGGCGAGAGCCUGAACCAGCCAAGUAGCGUGCAGGAUGACGGCCCUACGGGUUGUAAACUGCUUUUGCGGGAGAAUAAAGGUGGCCACGCGUGGCCAUUUGCAGGUAUCCCGUGAAUAAGGACCGGCUAAUUCCGUGCCAGCAGCCGCGGUAAUACGGAAGGUCCGGGCGUUAUCCGGAUUUAUUGGGUUUAAAGGGAGCGCAGGCGGAGGAUCAAGCCAGCCGUCAAAUAGCGGUGCUCAACACCGUCCAGCGGUUGGAACUGGUUCCCUUGAUUGCGGGAGAAGAAGGCGGAACUCGUGGUGUAGCGGUGAAAUGCAUAGAUAUCACGAAGAACUCCGAUUGCGAAGGCAGCCUUCCGGCCCGCCAAUGACGCUCAUGCUCGAAGGCGCGGGUAUCAAACAGGAUUAGAUACCCUGGUAGUCCGCGCAGUAAACGAUGAAUGCUCGGGAUUUGGCCCUUGUGGCUGAGUCCCCCCAGCGAAAGCGU